Molecule: unclassified non-coding RNA, 379 nt
Filed under: uncultured bacterium
Lineage: Bacteria
Description: contains 16S-23S intergenic spacer region
Source: RNAcentral
UCCUAGUUUCCUAGGCAGUCCCAUCAGAGUGCUCCUUACGGAUAGCAACUAACGAUAGGGGUUUCGCUCGUUAGGGGACUUAACCCAACACCUCAAGGCACGAGCUGACGACAGCCAUGCAACACCUGUACUGGUUACACCCGAAGGCAAUCCCCCGGCUUUCACCGGGUUAAUUCCAGCAUGUCAAACCCUGGUAAGGUUCUUCGCGUUGCUUCGAAUUGAGCAACAUCCUCCACCGCUUGUGUGAGCCCCCGUCAAUUCCUUUGAGUUUUAGCCUUGCGGCCGUACUCCCCAGGCGGGGCACUUAAUGCGUUAGCUGCGGCACGGGGGGAGUCGACACCCCCCACACCUAGUGCCCAUCGUUUACGGCGUGGACUAC